RNAcentral lists this ribosomal RNA (613 nucleotides) under Apilactobacillus kunkeei. RNAcentral's name for it is "bacterial SSU rRNA". It matches the Rfam family "Bacterial small subunit ribosomal RNA", at positions 93 to 692 of the family's 1533-position model. The record is from RNAcentral. Lineage: Bacteria; Bacillati; Bacillota; Bacilli; Lactobacillales; Lactobacillaceae.
GAGUGGCGAACUGGUGAGUAACACGUGGGUAACCUGCCCCGAAGCGGGGGAUAACAUUUGGAAACAAAUGCUAAUACCGCAUAAUUAGUCAGAACCGCAUGGUUCCGACUUGAAAGAUGGCUCUGCUAUCACUUCGGGAUGGACCCGCGCCGUAUUAGUUAGUUGGUGAGAUAAAAGCCCACCAAGACGAUGAUACGUAGCCGACCUGAGAGGGUAAUCGGCCACAUUGGGACUGAGACACGGCCCAGACUCCUACGGGAGGCAGCAGUAGGGAAUCUUCCACAAUGGACGAAAGUCUGAUGGAGCAACGCCGCGUGAGUGAUGAAGGGUUUCGGCUCGUAAAACUCUGUUGUUAAAGAAGAACAAGCAUGAGAGUAACUGUUCAUGCUUUGACGGUAUUUAACCAGAAAGCCACGGCUAACUACGUGCCAGCAGCCGCGGUAAUACGUAGGUGGCAAGCGUUGUCCGGAUUUAUUGGGCGUAAAGCGAGCGCAGGCGGUUUUGUAAGUCUGCUGUGAAAGCCCUCAGCUCAACUGAGGAAGUGCAGUGGAAACUACAAAACUUGAGUACAGAAGAGGAAAGUGGAACUCCAUGUGUAGCGGUGAAAUGCGUA